UGGGGAAUAUUGGACAAUGGGGGCAACCCUGAUCCAGCGACGCCGCGUGUGUGAAGAAGGCCUGCGGGUUGUAAACCUCUUUCAGUGGGGAAGAAGCGUAAGUGACGGUACCUGCAGAAGAAGCGCCGGCCAACUACGUGCCAGCAGCCGCGGUAAGACGUAGGGCGCGAGCGUUGUCCGGAUUUAUUGGGCGUAAAGAGCUCGUAGGCGGUUUGUCGCGUCUGCCGUGAAAGUCCGGGGCUCAACUCCGGAUCUGCGGUGGGUACGGGCAGACUAGAGUGAUGUAGGGGAGACUGGAAUUCCUGGUGUAGCGGUGAAAUGCGCAGAUAUCAGGAGGAACACCGAUGGCGAAGGCAGGUCUCUGGGCAUUAACUGACGCUGAGGAGCGAAAGCAUGGGGAGCGAACAGGAUUAGAUACCC
RNAcentral lists this ribosomal RNA (420 nucleotides) under uncultured bacterium. Its description in RNAcentral is "bacterial SSU rRNA". It matches the Rfam family "Bacterial small subunit ribosomal RNA", at positions 355 to 787 of the family's 1533-position model. The record is from RNAcentral.